UACGAAGGGGGCUAGCGUUGAUCGGAAUCACUGGGCGUAAAGCGCACGUAGGCGGACUCUUAAGUCGGUGGUGAAAUCCUGGAGCUCAACUCCAGAACUGCCUUCGAUACUGGGAGUCUCGAGUCCGGGAGAGGUGAGUGGAACUGCGAGUGUAGAGGUGAAAUUCGUAGAUAUUCGCAAGAACACCAGUGGCGAAGGCGGCUCACUGGCCCGGUACUGACGCUGAGGUGCGAAAGCGUGGGGAGCAAACAGG
This 253-nucleotide ribosomal RNA is filed under the name uncultured bacterium. Its description in RNAcentral is "partial 16S ribosomal RNA". It matches the Rfam family "Bacterial small subunit ribosomal RNA", at positions 524 to 776 of the family's 1533-position model. The record is from RNAcentral.